RNAcentral lists this small RNA (89 nucleotides) under Dipodomys ordii (Ord's kangaroo rat). RNAcentral's name for it is "7SK RNA (ENSDORG00000029073.1)". It matches the Rfam family "7SK RNA", at positions 172 to 265 of the family's 331-position model. From Rfam's summary of the family: 7SK was discovered as an abundant small nuclear RNA in the mid-70s but a possible function has only recently been suggested. The record is from RNAcentral. Lineage: Eukaryota; Metazoa; Chordata; Mammalia; Rodentia; Heteromyidae.
ACCGGUCUUCUGUCAAUGGUAUACAAGUGGCUGCGCUCCCCUGCUAGAACCUCCAAACAAGCUCUCAAAAAUGAGGGAAAGUAUAGAGU